CGUUUUGUUUACACCUCCUUUUGUUCUCUCUCUAAUACACAGAGUCUGUGACCACCAAACCUCACCCAAUCUCACCUCGACCUCGACCCCCUCGUACUCCAAUCACUACGCCACCCCAACACUCUCAAACCCUCCCAACAACUCUACAAUCAGAACCGCUUCCUUCAAACCCCACACGAUCCUAACUCCCACCUUUGUUUCUUCCUCGUCAAUUACUGCGACUGUGGCCUCAAUUUCUUCUACCCUAAUGGUGCGAAACUUCAAGUUCUAGCCCCUCAAUCUUCCAAGUACUGUUUUUGUUUUUGUUUUUGUUUUUGUUUUUGUUUUUGUUUUGCUUUAUUUUUUCUAGGGUUUCUGAACUUGAUUUUCAAUUUCUCUAUUUUACAGGCCGAAUCAACCGAAGAACAACUCGAAGCUCUCUUCGAUUACCACCUUGUUCAACCCUUCGAUGUUGUCUACCUCGACGGGUUCACAUGGCUUCAUUACAUCACAUAAAUGGCGUGACAUAAUUGGAGCUUUUAUAAAUGUUGAGGCAUCUGGGACAGGAGGCCUAGGCCCUGAUCAGCCUGCUUGUCAAGAGAACAUGAAUCUAUACAUAAAGAGAAUUCUUCCAUGCAUGAAAGAUUUCAAUUGUCCAAGAUAUUUUGAUGUUUGAUUCACUCCAUGGAAGAACCUGUUUGCAUUAUGCUGCUUUCUAUGGCCAUCUAGAUUGCCUACAAGCUAUUCUUUCUGCUGCCCUUUCCACCUCUAUUGCACAUUCUUGUUGAUGGCAGGGGAUUUGCAAGGUUUGUGAAUAUAAAAGAUAAAAAUGGAGCAACCCCAUUGCACUUGGCAGCCUGACAAGGAUGGCCGGAGUGUGUUCAUAUGUUGUUAUACAGUGGGGCUCUUGUUUGUGCAUCUACUAGGGGAUAUGGGUAAAACUCUCUUAUUGAAGGUUUUCUAGUGUAAUGAAAUAGCACUGUUAAUUUGUCAUUAAUAUUUAUAAGAGUCCUACUGCUGUGUGUUCUCAUGUGUGUUCAUAUGUAGUUUAAAGUUUUUUCUUCUAAGGGCAAAUGUUGUUGUGUUAAUUUCUCCAGCCACAGAACAGGUAAAGAAUGUCGUGAUGUCAAUUUGUUUUUUUAACUUAAUAAUUUAUUUUUUAAAGAGCUGCCCUUGAAAUUUGUUCGUAUUUGCAUUUUUUACUAUAUUUAUCAGCAAUGUUAGAAUUUCAAGAUGCCUUAACUGUGAAUUAUAUGAGCAUUUGGACUAUUUUAUCAAAAUGUGUUUGGAGAUGAUGUAUAAAAUAAGUUAUUAACUGGAAGAAUGUAUGAUAAUCAUUACUAAUGAUUUUGCUUGCCUUAGUCACUGUUGGGGCUUGAAUUGACAUCUAGAGUCCUUUUUAGUUCUUCUCUGUAUUCUCUUACUCAAAAAAAUAAUAAUAAUAAUCUUCUCUAUAUUUAGCCAUAUGUCUCAAAGAGUCAAAGACCAAUUGUAAAUAGUAUAAAUGGAUCAAUUGCAGAUCUGAUUCACGAAGAUUUCGAUUUUUCAUUUAUGAAUUUAAACUUGUCAUGCUUCUCUUAGGGUGUACCAUAUAAAGAAUGGUUUGGAAUCCUUACAGCUUCAUCCUUGGUUCUCAUUUCUUACUUUCAUUUUAAUUACUAGAUUCCUGGUAAGUAACAACCAUAAUUGGCCAUUUCCUUUUUGUUGUUUUAUUAUUUAUUUAUUUAUUUAUUUAUUUUUUCACAUAAAAACAAAAAUAACCAAGACCAAACAUAGGUGGUGGUCUAUACAAUUUCUUUGUCUACCACAAUUCUAGUGUAUACUUACUUUGUGAUUCUGUGAUCUGGGUAAAAGGUAAAGAGAAAACAAGAAAAUAUUUAUUUUAUUGAUUUUCUGAAUGAAUGAGCAUUAUAUAGAGAAGAUAGUAUAUAUACAAGAGUGAUCUACCUAACCUAACCAUAACCGUCUAACUAAACUAUAGUUAAACUCUAACAAACUAACUACCUAGCCUUGAUAAUACACACAUGACUAUUGGAGCUAUUGUUCUGAAGCUGCUGAGCUGCUGUGGCUGCUGCUCUACUUUGGAGCUGCUGGAGCUGUUGUGAUUGCUGCUCUGCUGGAGCUACUGUGUUGUGGCUGUGGUUGUGCUACUGUGGAGCUGUUGGAGCUCGAACUGCUGCUCUGCUAGAGCUGCUGUGUUGUAGCUGUGGUUGUGCAAUGGUUGAGUUGUUGUCUUCAUUAAAAGGGACAAGAAACUAUUUUGGUUGUCGGCCAUUGCACCAUUGAUGUCUGUUAUUUUAUCUACUCUUAUCAUUUUCCUGACAAGAGCUGAUAAAUAUGGAGUUAAAAUAGUGAAACACAUCAAAGGAGGGCUGAAUCCAAUCUCAAUUCAUCAGUUACAAUUCAAUAGCCCACAUGCCUCAGAAGUGGCUAAAAUUGGACUGAUUGUUGCAGUUGUUGCUCUCACGGUGCAUUCCUCAUCACUAUUUAUUCCCUUCCAUUUAUUCUUCAGCAUUAUUCUUGAACAUUUUGAAUUUCUUGUGAAAAGUGUCUUAAUACGUGUGCCAACUUCAAGAAGCCAUUGCGGUUGGUCGAUCUUUUGCAUCCAUAAAAGGAUACCAUCUUGAUGAAAACAAGGAAAUGUUGGCCAUGGGCUUCAUGAACAUUGCAGAAUCUUUAACUUCAUGCUAUGCUGCCAAAUAAAUUUGGGGUUGCAUUAGUUGAAGCUUUAGGGUUUUUAAGCAUUUGAAACCAAAUAAAUGGUGCCUGCUUUCUUCAUUUUAAUUUACUUGCCUUUCCAUAUCAUAUGAAAAAAAAAAAUUUGCUGUGAUGAUUAUGUUUCGACACCUAUUUGAAUUUCUUCUGUAUUGACAAAUAUAUUAAUCUAUUCAGAUAUGGAUAACUCUCUGUAGUUAACUGUAAAUUGCAUCUUUUGAAUACUUGGUUGUGAUUUAUGGAAGAACCUUUUUUUUCCUUUUAGAUAAAAUAUGGAGGUCACUAGUGUAUUAUAUUUUUUUUAACAACCACAAGUGUUGUCUGCUAGUGUAAAUCUUGAAACAAAAAUGUGUUUUCAUUUGUUUUGAAAAUUAGUUUUCAUUCCCUUUCUUCCCCACUACCGUUGCUCACCACCUACUAUCGGCUACUGUUGUGAGAGGAUGGGCUGUUAUGCAAUGCUGUUGUUUUUGCUUUGCUUUGUUUUUCAGUGUUGCUUCAGAUUCUGCUGCUUUGGCUCAGGCUCUAUUCUUCUGUUGCAGGCUAUCACUUUGCUUCAAUUUUUACUUUGGUCUGUUUCAGGCUUUAUUUUGUUGGUUUGCUCUACUCAGCUAUGGACUGCUAUGUGUUGAAUUAUUUUUUACAAUGUUGCUGGUCUGUUCUAUUUUGUUUCUCAGUGUCAAUUUGCAAUGCUGGUGAAGGCAGGCUAGUGUGUGUAUGUUGCUGCUGUUGAGAGUUAAUUUAGUUAGUGAAGAUGCUAGGAUUGAUCAAAUGCAUGGCAAAUCAGUUGAAGUGCUUUGGGAACUGCAGCGUGACAUCUCUUCUCAUAUUCAAUUAUUGUAAUAAUUAUUGUAAUUUAGUUGGUUACAUAUUUUCAUCUUUACUUUAAAUGGAAUUCAAUUAUUGUUUGAUGAUUUAAUGAAGUUACAAGAAAGGAAAUUUGUUAA
Molecule: non-coding RNA, 3638 nt
Organism: Camellia sinensis
Lineage: Eukaryota; Viridiplantae; Streptophyta; Magnoliopsida; Ericales; Theaceae
Source: RefSeq, a predicted model, not a curated record